Molecule: long non-coding RNA, 1327 nt
Filed under: Pongo abelii (Sumatran orangutan)
Lineage: Eukaryota; Metazoa; Chordata; Mammalia; Primates; Hominidae
Description: bidirectional promoter lncRNA
Source: RNAcentral
ACCCUGAACGCGCGGCCCAGAGCUCCCAGUUGGGUCCACCUCCAAAUAAAGAAGCUUCUUCCCAGGCCAGUGGCGCAAGCUUAAGUUUGUCUUCUGAAUUUGUCUUCUAAGUCCUUCCAAAAGUUGCCGACCACACAGCAGCCAAAUAUCUAUUAGAAGGUGUCAUCCUCUUCCUUACAACUCCAGUGGCUUAUCAUCACUCUUAGAAUGAGAAGGAAGCAUUCUGGCGGGAGGCCCACCGCAGCUCCUUGAAGAAGACAGCCAGGCCAGGGCCAAGACUGGGUGCCAGGGGCCUUGGAACUGCCAAAAUGCCUCCCAUUUUAUGGACAGGCCUGGCUCACCCUGAAGACAUUCCAAGUAUUUAAUCAGCAGUCCAUGGUACAUAUUGGGUUGCAGAGGGAGCCCUCAGAAGCUGGCCUUUUAGGAGACAAAACUCAGCCAGAGGAAGGAGCUGGCCUUCUCCAUGGACCAGGCUGAUGCUCGACAGAUGGAAAAAGUGCAUCUCAAUAACAAGGAUCAAUAACCGAAGGCUGACAGCUGCAGAGACCUGGCCUGAGGGGCCCCUAAGGACUCGGUUCUGCCUCUUUCCCACACCAGACUGAGUCCAGCCAGGAAUCCAUCUCACCCACCUCCCUGCACCAAGCUCCGGGAGAGCGAACGAGCGAGGGAGGAACCAUUUUUCACAUACUUUCUCUUUCAAAAUGUAGCCGUGUUUCGCAAUUUCCUACUUAAGUUCUGGAAGGCUCUAGGGCAGAACCCAAGCCACCUUCUCUAGCCACUGGCCUGGGUCUCUCGUCACCAAGAACCUGGUAGGCUAGCGGUGACGGAGAAAGGAAGGGGCCCAGAUUUACUAACCCUCCCACUGUCCCCAUCCAUGCCAGCUCACCCAAGGGUCUAUUUAGUGCAGGUCACUCUCUCUCUCUCUUUUUGUGGAGACAAUGUCUCAGUAUGUUGCCCAGACUGGUCUUGAACUCCUGGCCUCAAGCUGUCUCCUGCCUCAGCCUCCCAAAGUGCUGGGAUUAGAGGCAUGAGCCACCAUGCCCAGCCUCACAUUCUUGAUGCUAAAGGAGCUUCAACCAAGCCUCCAGCCAAAACCUGUUUAUUGUUCCCCGUGUGUUGGCUUUCUCUUGGGAGAGCCAGAAGGUGCGCCACACCAAAGCAGGUGCACCCAACCCUGGUAUGCUCACAUCUCAGCAACCCCUGAGGCACCUAAUCUUCAGAUCUUCUCUACUCCCCUAUAACUAGGCUUUUGUUCUGGCUCACUUUUACUGGCAGUACUAGACAGUAUUCCAGCCCUUUUGCAAUGAAUCCAUUUAGUCCUUAAAAA